GCUCCUGUGCAGGACUCAAGUUGCAGCCAGCAACAACUUUGGAGCAACCAAGCUGCCAGCAGCUUUCCGCAGGCUGGUAGUAUUGAGUUAAGAGUUUGGGGAGCUAUUUGGAUAUGAUUUAAUGCUCCAUUUUUGAAAUAUACUGCUUGCACUUGUGUGGGGAGAAGUUAGAAGUUAGCCCAUAUCUUCCUUGAGCUGGAAUUGAAGGUUAGUGGCCUAAAUUUUAAAGUUGAUCAAGGUUGGUUCAAUGUUGGAAUUUCAGGCUGAUUUCGUCCAUUGUCAGAAUUCAUUAAUGUUCAUAUAAAUUUUCUAUAGGGACUAAGCUUUGAAAAGGUUGGGAGUGAUCUUGACUUCGUCCUCUACUGCAUAGAAUCUUGUUUGAAUCAAUUCGGAGGUAAAAUGAAUGAGAAAUUCAUUUUUCGUUAAGGUCGAAGACCGAAAAAUUAUUUUUCGUCGAUGCUGAAAUUUGGACCUUUAUCUUUUAUUUGUGAUGGAAUUUCCUGGGGAAUAAAGGUUUUUCUUGUAGUGGAAACCCCUAAGAUCACUUGUGGACAAGUACCAAUUCCCAAUUUCGUUGUUGGUGGGUUGGUGGAGCAAGAAUGAAGUGCGAUUCACUACUGGUAGCUUAGAAGCAAGCAGCGGCAGCAAUAGUAGAAAUGGUAGCUGGAUUUUGGGGGAGAAUUGAUGGAAAUUGAUUAUUCCAAUCAAACAAUUCUAGCAUCCUCAUGAAUCAAGUGUUGUAUGGAGCCAGGGGAGAAAGUUAUUGAGCUACAUUGUCAAUGAAGAGGGCUUCAAUUGAGGUGAUUUUGUUGUAAUGCUGAAAUUGAGAGCAUUUGAUUUUAUAUUGGGAGUUUUGACUCCAAUUCUCUUAUGUGAGAUUCUUAGGACUUUCUUGCCAAUCCACACCUUUAUGUUAGCCAAAUUGAUGUUGCCCCCAGCUGAACUUUAAGGUACAUUGGCUCAAUUGUUGUUUCCAAGUCGAAUUUAC
Molecule: long non-coding RNA, 988 nt
Filed under: Ananas comosus (pineapple)
Lineage: Eukaryota; Viridiplantae; Streptophyta; Magnoliopsida; Poales; Bromeliaceae
Description: long non-coding RNA (ACOM_LNC021488)
Source: RNAcentral